Molecule: unclassified non-coding RNA, 350 nt
Filed under: Hevea brasiliensis (rubber tree)
Lineage: Eukaryota; Viridiplantae; Streptophyta; Magnoliopsida; Malpighiales; Euphorbiaceae
Source: RNAcentral
AGAAGAAGAAGAAGAAGCAGAAGCUGCUCCAUAGAUCCCUUGAGGUCCCUUAAGUCCUUGGAAAUAGCUAAACGCAUGGAUAUAUCCUUUUUGACAUGUAAUUUAGAACUGCUAGCAAAGGAAAUGGCAGUAUACACAUCCAUAUGUCAUGUUUUUUGUCUGUGUCUGUGUCAAUGUGUUUAUUUGUUUGUUCUUUUUCCUUUUGUUGUUUUUGUGCUUUGGCAGUAAGGGUGAGGGUGAAGGAAUAGAAAGAGAGAACAUAAGAGAGAUAUUCAGCAAUUCAAACCACAAAUUCUCUUCAUAUGCAUGGACAAAAAUCUUUCUAUUUAAAAGAGCCAAUUAAAAAAAAA